Molecule: ribosomal RNA, 492 nt
Filed under: uncultured bacterium
Lineage: Bacteria
Description: partial 16S ribosomal RNA
Rfam family: Bacterial small subunit ribosomal RNA
Source: RNAcentral
AGUGAGCGCUGGCGGUAGGCCUAACACAUGCAAGUCGAACGGCAGCACAGUAAGAGCUUGCUCUUACGGGUGGCGAGUGGCGGACGGGUGAGGAAUACAUCGGAAUCUACUUUUUCGUGGGGGAUAACGUAGGGAAACUUACGCUAAUACCGCAUACGACCUACGGGUGAAAGCAGGGGAUCUUCGGACCUUGCGCGAUUGAAUGAGCCGAUGUCGGAUUAGCUAGUUGGCGGGGUAAAGGCCCACCAAGGCGACUAUCCGUAGCUGGUCUGAGAGGAUGAUCAGCCACACUGGAACUGAGACACGGUCCAGACUCCUACGGGAGGCAGCAGUGGGGAAUAUUGGACAAUGGGCGCAAGCCUGAUCCAGCCAUACCGCGUGGGUGAAGAAGGCCUUCGGGUUGUAAAGCCCUUUUGUUGGGAAAGAAAAGCAGCAGGUUAAUACCCCGCUGUUCUGACGGUACCCAAAGAAUAAGCACCGGCUAACUUCGUG